AGUGAACGCUGGCGGUAGGCCUAACACAUGCAAGUCGAACGGCAGCACAGUAAGAGCUUGCUCUUACGGGUGGCGAGUGGCGGACGGGUGAGGAAUACAUCGGAAUCUACUUUUUCGUGGGGGAUAACGUAGGGAAACUUACGCUAAUACCGCAUACGACCUACGGGUGAAAGCAGGGGAUCUUCGGACCUUGCGCGAUUGAAUGAGCCGAUGUCAGAUUAGCUAGUUGGCGGGGUAAAGGCCCACCAAGGCGACGAUCCGUAGCUGGUCUGAGAGGAUGAUCAGCCACACUGGAACUGAGACACGGUCCAGACUCCUACGGGAGGCAGCAGUGGGGAAUAUUGGACAAUGGGCGCAAACCUGAUCCAGCCAUACCGCGUGGGUGAAGAAGGCCUUCGGGUUGUAAAGCCCUUUUGUUGGGAAAGAAAAGCAGCAGGUUAAUACCCCGCUGUUCUGACGGUACCCAAAGAAUAAGCACCGGCUAACUUCGUG
Molecule: ribosomal RNA, 492 nt
Filed under: uncultured bacterium
Lineage: Bacteria
Description: partial 16S ribosomal RNA
Rfam family: Bacterial small subunit ribosomal RNA
Source: RNAcentral